UCUUGACGGUACCUAAUCAGAAAGCCACGGCUAACUACGUGCCAGCAGCCGCGGUAAUACGUAGGUGGCAAGCGUUAUCCGGAAUUAUUGGGCGUAAAGCGCGCGUAGGCGGUUUUUUAAGUCUGAUGUGAAAGCCCACGGCUCAACCGUGGAGGGUCAUUGGAAACUGGAAAACUUGAGUGCAGAAGAGGAAAGUGGAAUUCCAUGUGUAGCGGUGAAAUGCGCAGAGAUAUGGAGGAACACCAGUGGCGAAGGCGACUUUCUGGUCUGUAACUGACGCUGAUGUGCGAAAGCGUGGGGAUCAAACAGGAUGAUACCCUGGUAGUCCACGCCGUAAACGAUGAGUGCUAAGUGUUAGGGGGUUUCCGCCCCUUAGUGCUGCAGCUAACGCAUUAAGCACUCCGCCUGGGGAGUACGACCGCAAGGUUGAAACAAAGGAAUUGACGGGGACCCGCACAAGCGGUGGAGCAUGUGGUUUAAUUCGAAGCAACGCGAAGAACCUUACCAAAUCUUGACAUCCUUUGACAACUCUAGAGAUAGAGCUUUCCCCUUCGGGGGACAAAGUGACAGGUGGUGCAUGGUUGUCGUCAGCUCGUGUCGUGAGAUGUUGGGUUAAGUCCCGCAACGAGCGCAACCCUUAAGCUUAGUUGCCAUCAUUAAGUUGGGCACUCUAAGUUGACUGCCGGUGACAAACCGGAGGAAGGUGGGGAUGACGUCAAAUCAUCAUGCCCCUUAUGAUUUUACC
This 745-nucleotide ribosomal RNA is filed under the name Staphylococcus aureus. RNAcentral's name for it is "bacterial SSU rRNA". It matches the Rfam family "Bacterial small subunit ribosomal RNA", at positions 467 to 1214 of the family's 1533-position model. The record is from RNAcentral. Lineage: Bacteria; Bacillati; Bacillota; Bacilli; Caryophanales; Staphylococcaceae.